Molecule: ribosomal RNA, 292 nt
Filed under: uncultured bacterium
Lineage: Bacteria
Description: partial 16S ribosomal RNA
Rfam family: Archaeal small subunit ribosomal RNA
Source: RNAcentral
GUAGUCCACGCUGUAAACGAUGAGUACUAGGUGUCGGGGGUAUCGACCCCCUCGGUGCCGCAGCUAACGCGAUAAGUACUCCGCCUGGGGACUACGGCCGCAAGGCUAAAACUCAAAGGAAUUGACGGGGAGCACUGCAACGCGUGGAGUGUGCGGUUUAAUUGGAUUCAACGCCGGAAAACUCACCUGGGGAGACUGCCAGAUGUGACUCAGUCUGAAGGACUUUGUCGAAAACAGGUAGAGAGGUGGUGCAUGGCCGUCGUCAGCUCGUACCGUAAGGCGUUCUGUUAAG